Molecule: long non-coding RNA, 1158 nt
Organism: Cryptotermes secundus
Lineage: Eukaryota; Metazoa; Arthropoda; Insecta; Blattodea; Kalotermitidae
Exons: 3
Source: RefSeq, a predicted model, not a curated record
AGAGCUAAAACAUUGUUGAGAGGUGUUAUGAAGACUAGUGAAAGCAGACUGAGAUCUGACUUAGGAGUUUUCUCGCUAUCUAGAUGCAGCGUCGUUGAUUGUUCCUUUAUUGGAAACUAUUUCACUCACUACAAUCUUCGGCCUGGCCAUCUUUAGGUGUACAGCUGCCUUGAUCGUCCUUAAAUGGCUUAAGUAUUCUUGCUGGGACGUAUCUUUUCUUACCUGUCGGUUGGUCAUCACGGUCAUCACAGUGAUCAUAGUCAAUUAUAGUCAUCUUUGAUCUACGGGAUGUACUGUGGUGUAUGAACCAGUGGCAGUGCAUGUUGGUUAAUGAACAGUGGCAAGUGCAAUGGAGAUUGUCGUUAGAAUUUGGUAAAGAGUAUGAUAUAUGUGCGUGAAAGAAAGUGAAAGUGGUAAUGAAAUAAAUGAGUUCCAGUGGUUUAAUAUUUGCCGAUGGAAGCUAAUUUAAAAAUUGUUAAUUUAUUUUAUAGUCUUCAGAUUCGUUACUGGUAACGCAUUUCUUCAGAAUGCUCGACCUUAUCAUUUCUGACAUGUGGUUUUGCACAUAUUGUUUACUAACCUUUGUGGAUAUUCCAGUAAUUUAAACAUACAUAUAUUUGAAUUCAUCUGUCGAAAUUAGUUGUGUUUGUGUGUAUUUCAUUCAGAGCAUGGAACCGCAACAGUACUUUAUUGUGUUAAGUGACACUGAGCAUAUGAGGAAAUGCGUAUAAUUUCGUGUGCAGAAACCUUUAGUUAUUAAAAUAAAUCAACAGUGGAGUGUGAUUUUAAGAAAAGAUUAUGGUUUUGCCCGCAAAUUGUUAUUUAAAUUUAAAAGAUUAUGUGUUCUUAUAAUUGUAGGUGCAUUUUAACAACGAUUUUCGUGCCAGAAUUGGACACUUAGAUUAAGUGAAAUAAAUACUAGGACCAGUACAUGUCAAUCUCUUUGACAGUUGACUGAAACAUGAUGUUUAUGGUGAACCAAAAGAAUUAUAAGUUCCAAGUUGAGUUAUAUUUGGAGGAGUUAGCUGCUGUUCCAUAUGUGACUGGCUUCAUAUUUGCUAAAGUACGUCUUCUGGGUCGGGGCAACUUCUGUGAGUUUACGACCAGUCCCGGACACGUGAAAAUGGGCCUCGUCACUACAGAUCAAAACAGAUGUGA